UCCCACACAGUGAAUGAAGACCUUUCAUAUGAAGCAGAAGCUAGGAUAUCUUCCAUCCGGACUCCAUGUAAGGGCGCUAACAUGUUCAUCAUUUUGACUACGAAGAAAAUCGACUAGGAGAUACCGAAUUCCAGAGCCUCUAGAUAAACUUCCUACAAAGGAAAUAGUGCCAGAUCUAGCAGAUGCGGCAUUUCCAGGAUAUGAAGCAGACCAC
RNAcentral lists this long non-coding RNA (214 nucleotides) under Medicago truncatula (barrel medic). RNAcentral describes it as "lncRNA gene42276". The record is from RNAcentral. Lineage: Eukaryota; Viridiplantae; Streptophyta; Magnoliopsida; Fabales; Fabaceae.